RNAcentral lists this ribosomal RNA (253 nucleotides) under uncultured bacterium. RNAcentral's name for it is "partial 16S ribosomal RNA". It matches the Rfam family "Bacterial small subunit ribosomal RNA", at positions 524 to 776 of the family's 1533-position model. The record is from RNAcentral.
UACGGAGGGGGCUAGCGUUGUUCGGAAUUACUGGGCGUAAAGCGCGCGUAGGCAGACCUGCAAGUCGGGGGUGAAAGCCCGAGGCUCAACCUCGGAACUGCCUUCGAUACUGCGGGUCUCGAGUCCGGGAGAGGUGAGUGGAAUUCCUAGUGUAGAGGUGAAAUUCGUAGAUAUUAGGAAGAACACCAGUGGCGAAGGCGGCUCACUGGCCCGGUACUGACGCUGAGGCGCGAAAGCGUGGGGAGCGAACAGG